Molecule: ribosomal RNA, 386 nt
Filed under: uncultured bacterium
Lineage: Bacteria
Description: bacterial SSU rRNA
Rfam family: Bacterial small subunit ribosomal RNA
Source: RNAcentral
AUUGAACGCUGGCGGCAUGCCUUACACAUGCAAGUCGAACGGCAGCACGGGAGCAAUCCUGGUGGCGAGUGGCGAACGGGUGAGUAAUGUAUCGGAACGUACCUUUCAGUGGGGGAUAACGUAGCGAAAGUUACGCUAAUACCGCAUAUUCUGUGAGCAGGAAAGCAGGGGAUCGCAAGACCUUGCGCUGAUUGAGCGGCCGAUAUCAGAUUAGCUAGUUGGUGAGGUAAAGGCUCACCAAGGCGACGAUCUGUAGCGGGUCUGAGAGGAUGAUCCGCCACACUGGAACUGAGACACGGUCCAGACUCCUACGGAGGCAGCAGUGGGGAAUUUUGGACAAUGGGCGCAAGCCUGAUCCAGCCAUGCCGCGUGAGUGAAGAAGGCCU